UAGUUAGAGGCAUGAUGUACUACAAGAGAGCCUUGAAGCUUCAAGCUUUUCUUGACAUGGCUUCUGAGUCUGGUGAGCUU
RNAcentral lists this small nucleolar RNA (80 nucleotides) under Oryza sativa Indica Group (long-grained rice). RNAcentral describes it as "Small nucleolar RNA J33". The record is from RNAcentral. Lineage: Eukaryota; Viridiplantae; Streptophyta; Magnoliopsida; Poales; Poaceae.